Molecule: ribosomal RNA, 73 nt
Filed under: Triticum aestivum (bread wheat)
Lineage: Eukaryota; Viridiplantae; Streptophyta; Magnoliopsida; Poales; Poaceae
Also listed under: 1 other name
Description: rRNA SSU_rRNA_eukarya
Rfam family: Bacterial small subunit ribosomal RNA
Source: RNAcentral
GAGAGUGGAAUUUCGUGUGUAGGGGUGAAAUCCGUAGAUCUACGAAGGAACGCCAAAAGCGAAGGCAGCUCUC